GACGAACCGUGCGAACGUUGUUCGGAAUCACUGGGCUUAAAGGGCGCGUAGGCGGUUGAUCAAGUCUGGGGUGAAAUCUUUCGGCUUAACCGGAAAAGUGCCUUGGAUACUGGUCAGCUGGAGGGAGGUAGGGGCAGUUGGAACUUCCAGUGGAGCGGUGAAAUGCGUUGAUAUUGGAAGGAACGCCGGUGGCGAAAGCGAACUGCUGGACCUUUUCUGACGCUGAUGCGCGAAAGCUAGGGGAGCAAAC
Molecule: ribosomal RNA, 250 nt
Filed under: uncultured bacterium
Lineage: Bacteria
Description: partial 16S ribosomal RNA
Rfam family: Bacterial small subunit ribosomal RNA
Source: RNAcentral